Long non-coding RNA from Asparagus officinalis (garden asparagus), 366 nucleotides. RefSeq lists it as uncharacterized. The transcript has 2 exons. NCBI's taxonomy places the organism in Eukaryota, Viridiplantae, Streptophyta, Magnoliopsida, Asparagales, Asparagaceae. The record is from RefSeq and is a predicted model, not a curated record.
UUCAUGGUUUCGCUGAGCUUUUGACUGAAACACUUGGGCAAACAAUUGAUCCGGCGGCUAUUGCAAGACUUAUUGCACGCACAAGAUCACCUGAGCAAGGUGGUAGUGCUCGAAAUCAUGAUCAUCCUCGCUCAUCUGCAAGCAGCCAUCAGCCACGAAAUGAGGAAAACAUCUGAAGAUCCAUGCUUGUCGCUCUUUGGGGGAUUUAUUUGUUGUGAAGAUUUAGAACUUAAUCGUCUCAAUAGAGACAUUUUGACCUUUUGAUUAAGUAGUAGCUCUUUGUUUUAAUCAUGGAGGAUUUGUGAUAUGUGCUUAAUUUGGUAAGUUUGUGUGUAAAACUUGUGAAGAAUUAUCUCAAUCCUAUUG